ACCCGCUGAAUUUAAGCAUAUCACUAAGCGGAGGAAAAGAAACUAACCAGGAUUCCCCUAGUAACGGCGAGUGAAGAGGGAAUAGCCCAGCACCGAAGCCUGCGGCAGAUUUGCUGUUAGGCAAUGUGGUGUUUGGGUCGGCUCGUGGGAUUGCCACUCCACUCGAAGUCCAGCAUUGAGUAUGGUUCCCUGGAUUUGGCCCAGAGAGGGUGAAAGGCCCGUACGAGUGGAUGUUUCAGACAUGUAAGGCAAUUCACCAGGUCGGCCUUAGAGUCGGGUUGUUUGAGAAUGCAGCCCAAAGUGGGUGGUAAACUCCAUCCAAGGCUAAAUACUAGCACGAGUCCGAUAGCGAACAAGUACCGUGAGGGAAAGUUGAAAAGUACUUUGAAGAGAGAGUAAACAGUACGUGAAACCGCAUAGAGGUAAACGGGUGGCGUCAAGCUGCAAGCCCAGAGGAUUCAGUCGGUCAGGAUGUUGUGUAUGCGCCUGGCGCAUCUAUCAGUCGGUGUUAGAUGGAGGGCAGUCCACCGGGAAACGGUGGGCCCAGCCGCAAGGCUGGGAUUUGCGUACCGGGUGGUUGCCGGAGCAUGCUGCCCGUCUGUUGGACUGUCUGGCCGAUGCACUUCCUCUGUUAAGGUGAACACCACGACCGGUGGUACUGCCAGUCUGUUGUGGCCAAGUUGUGCUCAGUCGGCAUUUAUGUCACCUGGGUGCAAUCACAGGCAAAGUCAGUGAACGGUGUUCGGGCGUUCGCGUCUGUUCAUGUUAUCGGGCACUGCUUGUCAACGGGUCGGUCUGUCUAUUGUUGUAGCCGUUGAUGGCAUGACCUGGUGGGCCAUGAUGGUAAGAAUAACUGUGCAGGGCACCGGAGUUCUCGGUCUCUAAUCCGGCUCGUGUACACGCUACAAGUGGUACGGGGUGUCGUUGCGGCCUGCCUGUGGCUGGGUCUGAUUGUCGUGUCGCCUGCACAAAGUGGGCCCGGCAGUGGCCUGGUUCUGGUUGGAGUCGUGGAUGGCGCUCUCGGUGUGUGAGUUCGGUGUGGGCCAAACAGUCAGUGGUGUAGUGGUAGACGAGCUACCCGACCCGUCUUGAAACACGGACCAAGGAGUUUAACAUGCGCGCGAGUCAUGGGGUCUUACGAAACCCAAAGGCGCAGUGAAAGUGAAGCCUCGACUUGUUCUCGGGGUGUGGUGAGAUCUUGCCGUUUCUCGCAUCUGCACUCGUGCAUUCUUGUGUCAGCACCAGGCAAAGAGCGGCAGGCGCAUCACCGGCCCGUCCCAUGAUGUGGUCAUUGGUCGGCUGUAGUUGUGGGCUUCGGCUCGUGGCUGCAGUUGCCAGUGCGUCAUCGGGGCGGAGCAUGAGCGUGCAUGUUGAGACCCGAAAGAUGGUGAACUAUGCUUGCGUAGGUUGAAGCCAGAGGAAACUCUGGUGGAGGACCGCAGCGAUUCUGACGUGCAAAUCGAUCGUCAAACGUGAGUAUAGGGGCGAAAGACUAAUCGAACCAUCUAGUAGCUGGUUCCCUCCGAAGUUUCCCUCAGGAUAGC
This 1544-nucleotide ribosomal RNA is filed under the name Pintneriella musculicola. RNAcentral describes it as "eukaryotic LSU rRNA". It matches the Rfam family "Eukaryotic large subunit ribosomal RNA", at positions 23 to 982 of the family's 3401-position model. Lineage: Eukaryota; Metazoa; Platyhelminthes; Cestoda; Trypanorhyncha; Rhopalothylacidae. The record is from RNAcentral.